Molecule: long non-coding RNA, 930 nt
Filed under: Marmota monax (woodchuck)
Lineage: Eukaryota; Metazoa; Chordata; Mammalia; Rodentia; Sciuridae
Source: RNAcentral
UGAGCCCGAACAUGGCAGAAGGGGCACAGGGAGCUUUCUUUUAUAAGGGCACUAAUGCUGUCCAUGAGGGCUCUGCCUUCAUGACCUAAACACCUCCCAUAGGCUGCACCUAUUAAUAUACCAUCACAUGGGGCAUUAGGAUUUAACACAUGAAUUUUGUAAGGUCACAGACAUUCAAUCUACAAUAUAAGGGUUUAAGGAAAAAGAGCACCCUUAACAUCACUAGGUUCUCCCAUGGUGGCACUCUGCUCCAGCCAGGCCAAGAGCCCUGCACUCUUUCAGAUGGUUCUCCAGAGGAAUGUCCCUCUGGGAUGCUUGGGUUCUCUCUGUAUGUGCGGAGCCUGCACACCUUUACCCACUGAUCUUUGAAACCUGGUCUGCACAUUCGACACCAGGCAGCUGUGAGAGUUUUGACAAUCCAUUACCCCUCUCUCCUCUCCACCCCACAAUCUUCACAUUCUCAUCCAGUCCACAUGUCCCUAUGCUAAUUGCCCUUUCCAAAGUUAACAUUUCCAAAUGGCAAGAUAAGUUCAGAGUCAUUUAAAAGAAAAAUACACGCACUUGAGACAGAACCGUGAAAAUGUUAGGCUUCUUUCUUUCUUUUUUUUUUUUAAAUCUCAUCCUUACCCUCUCUGCAGAAGUAGUGAGCUCAAGUGGCCUCUUGCUUCUUGUUUUUCCCAGGGAAACCAAUUUCGGUUCAGUUCCCACUGUUUCAUAACACAAGAGCUCAACUUACACACUUCCAAACAGAGGGAUGGGUGCUCAGUUUUGUUUUCUUCUUCCCUCAAGAAAAAGCCUCAAUCUCAGUUUCAGGCUUAAACAGACUUAACAGCCAUAAGUCCCAUAAGCCCUGACCUGCCAUAAAUAGUCUUUUUCAUCAGAAACUGCAAAUCACCAUUCCACUGUAUAAACCAGAGCUACUCGGAGAGC